This 292-nucleotide ribosomal RNA is filed under the name uncultured bacterium. Its description in RNAcentral is "partial 16S ribosomal RNA". It matches the Rfam family "Bacterial small subunit ribosomal RNA", at positions 505 to 796 of the family's 1533-position model. The record is from RNAcentral.
GUGCCAGCAGCCGCGGUAAUACGGAGGGUGCAAGCGUUGUUCGGAAUCACUGGGCGUAAAGCGCGUGCAGGCGGCUCGUUAAGUCUGGUGUGAAAGCCCGGGGCUCACCCCCGGAAGUGCACUGGAUACUGGCGGGCUUGAGUCCCGGAGAGGAGGGUGGAAUUCCUGGUGUAGCGGUGAAAUGCGUAGAUAUCAGGAGGAACACCGGCGGCGAAGGCGGCCCUCUGGACGGUGACUGACGCUGAGACGCGAAAGCGUGGGGAGCAAACAGGAUUAGAUACCCCAGUAGUCC